AUACGGAGGUGGUGAGCGUUGUUCGGAAUUACUGGGCGUAAAGCGUACGUAGGCGGACUGGAAAGUUGGGGGCGAAAUCCCGGGGCUCAACCCCGGAACUGCCUCCAAAACUUCCAAUCUAGAGAUCGAGAGAGGUGAGUGGAAUUCCAAGUGUAGAGGUGAAAUUCGUAGAUAUUUGGAGGAACACCAGUGGCGAAGGCGGCUCACUGGCUCGAUACUGACGCUGAGGUACGAAAGCGUGGGGAGCAAACAGGAUUAGAAACCCUAGUAGUCC
This 274-nucleotide ribosomal RNA is filed under the name uncultured bacterium. RNAcentral describes it as "partial 16S ribosomal RNA". It matches the Rfam family "Bacterial small subunit ribosomal RNA", at positions 523 to 796 of the family's 1533-position model. The record is from RNAcentral.